Molecule: ribosomal RNA, 253 nt
Filed under: uncultured bacterium
Lineage: Bacteria
Description: partial 16S ribosomal RNA
Rfam family: Bacterial small subunit ribosomal RNA
Source: RNAcentral
UACAGAGGUCCCGAGCGUUAGGCGGAAUCACUGGGCUUAAAGCGUGUGUAGGCGGAUGCCUAAGUACCUUGUGAAAUCCCACGGCUCACCCGUGGAACUGCUCGGUAUACUGGGUGUCUUGAGCCACUUAGGGGCUACCGGAACAAAUGGUGGAGCGGUGAAAUGCGUAGAUAUCAUUUGGAACGCCAAUGGUGAAAACAGGUAGCUGGGAGUGUGCUGACGCUGAGACACGAAAGCCAGGGGAGCAAACGGG